Molecule: ribosomal RNA, 465 nt
Filed under: uncultured bacterium
Lineage: Bacteria
Description: bacterial SSU rRNA
Rfam family: Bacterial small subunit ribosomal RNA
Source: RNAcentral
CUGGCGGCGUGCUUAACACAUGCAAGUCGAGCGAUGAAGCUCCUUCGGGAGUGAAUUAGCGGCGGACGGGUGAGUAACACGUGGGUAACCUGCCUCAUAGAGGGGAAUAGCCUUUCGAAAGGAAGAUUAAUACCGCAUAAGAUUGUAGUACCGCAUGGUACAGCAAUUAAAGGAGUAAUCCGCUAUGAGAUGGACCCGCGUCGCAUUAGCUAGUUGGUGAGGUAACGGCUCACCAAGGCGACGAUGCGUAGCCGACCUGAGAGGGUGAUCGGCCACAUUGGGACUGAGACACGGCCCAGACUCCUACGGGAGGCAGCAGUGGGGAAUAUUGCACAAUGGGGGAAACCCUGAUGCAGCAACGCCGCGUGAGUGAUGACGGCCUUCGGGUUGUAAAACUCUGUCUUUGGGGACGAUAAUGACGGUACCCAAGGAGGAAGCCACGGCUAACUACGUGCCAGCAGCCGC